This 159-nucleotide ribosomal RNA is filed under the name Clitocybula sp. FCME25069. RNAcentral describes it as "5.8S ribosomal RNA". It matches the Rfam family "5.8S ribosomal RNA". Rfam says of the family: 5.8S ribosomal RNA (5.8S rRNA) is a component of the large subunit of the eukaryotic ribosome. It is transcribed by RNA polymerase I as part of the 45S precursor that also contains 18S and 28S rRNA. Lineage: Eukaryota; Fungi; Basidiomycota; Agaricomycetes; Agaricales; Porotheleaceae. The record is from RNAcentral.
ACAACUUUCAGCAACGGAUCUCUUGGCUCUCGCAUCGAUGAAGAACGCAGCGAAAUGCGAUAAGUAAUGUGAAUUGCAGAAUUCAGUGAAUCAUCGAAUCUUUGAACCCACCUUGCACUCCUUGGUAUUCCGAGGAGUAUGCCUGUUUGAGUGUCAUUA